Molecule: ribosomal RNA, 541 nt
Filed under: uncultured Gallionellaceae bacterium
Lineage: Bacteria; Pseudomonadati; Pseudomonadota; Betaproteobacteria; Nitrosomonadales; Gallionellaceae
Description: bacterial SSU rRNA
Rfam family: Bacterial small subunit ribosomal RNA
Source: RNAcentral
AGUGGGGGAUAACGUAGCGAAAGUUACGCUAAUACCGCAUAUGCCCUGAGGGGGAAAGGUGGGGAUCGCAAGACCUAUCGCUUUCGGAGUGGCCGAUAUCAGAUUAGCUAGUUGGUGGGGUAAAGGCCUACCAAGGCGACGAUCUGUAGCUGGUCUGAGAGGACGACCAGCCACACUGGGACUGAGACACGGCCCAGACUCCUACGGGAGGCAGCAGUGGGGAAUUUUGGACAAUGGGCGCAAGCCUGAUCCAGCCAUGCCGCGUGAGUGAAGAAGGCCUUCGGGUUGUAAAGCUCUUUCAGCCGGAAAGAAAUCGUGCAGGCUAAUAUCCUGCAUGGAUGACGGUACCGGAAGAAGAAGCACCGGCUAACUACGUGCCAGCAGCCGCGGUAAUACGUAGGGUGCGAGCGUUAAUCGGAAUUACUGGGCGUAAAGCGUGCGCAGGCGGUUUUGUAAGACAGACGUGAAAUCCCCGGGCUUAACCUGGGAACUGCGUUUGUGACUGCAAGGCUAGAGUGCGGCAGAGGGGGGUAGAAUUCCA